CCUACGGGAGGCAGCAGUGGGGAAUAUUGCACAAUGGGGGGAACCCUGAUGCAGCGACGCCGCGUGAGCGAGGAAGUAUUUCGGUAUGUAAAGCUCUAUCAGCAGGGACGAAAAAAGACGGUACCUGACUAAGAAGCCCCGGCUAACUACGUGCCAGCAGCCGCGGUAAGACGUAGGGGGCAAGCGUUAUCCGUAGUUACUGGGUGUAACAGGAGCGUAGACGGCAAGGAAAGCCAGAAGUGAAAGGGGAGGGCUCAACCCUGUACAUGCUUUUGGAACUGUGGUGGGAGAGUGCAGGAGAGGUAAGUGGAAUUCCUAGUGUAGCGGUGAAAUGCGUAGAUAUUAGGAGGAACCCCAGUGGCGAAGGCGGCUUACUGGACUGUAACUGACGUUGAGGCUCGAAAGCGUGGGGAGCAAACAGGAUUAGAUACCCGGGUAGUA
RNAcentral lists this ribosomal RNA (441 nucleotides) under uncultured bacterium. RNAcentral's name for it is "partial 16S ribosomal RNA". It matches the Rfam family "Bacterial small subunit ribosomal RNA", at positions 338 to 795 of the family's 1533-position model. The record is from RNAcentral.